CCCCAUUCCCCUCACGGCCGCGGAGGGCGGGAAACGCCGCGGGGAGCCCCCGGGAUGAGGAACCCUGGAAUUGUGGAAUUGGACAGAGCAACGCAGCGCUGGGGAAAACGUGAGGUUUCACCGCCCGCUCCACGCUUCUACCGAACUUGGUUUGCAGCUCCCUUUUUAUGGUCCAUGUUCUUUAUUUAAGAGAGAUCGGAGCUGCCGCAGCUCAGGGACAGAGCCAGGAAACUCCCCCGACCCAAAAGAAGAGAAGGGCUGAGCAUGGCACUAAUUAGCACGGGAAGCAAGAGAAUAAUUACCAGUACAAUACUAAUU
This is a long non-coding RNA of Ficedula albicollis (Collared flycatcher), 318 nucleotides long. RefSeq lists it as uncharacterized. Lineage: Eukaryota; Metazoa; Chordata; Aves; Passeriformes; Muscicapidae. The transcript has 3 exons. The record is from RefSeq and is a predicted model, not a curated record.